ACACAUGUUAAGGUAAACAUGAUGGUACACAUCCUCAAAACCAGCAACUGGGUAGGCAGAGGCAGAUGGAUGUCUUCAAGUUCAAGGCCAGCCUGGUUUAUAUACAGGAGUUCUUAGUGAAACCCUCAUUCUACUUAGGUAGGUAGGUAGAUUGAUAUAGCUAUCUCUGAUUCAAAUGUAGUCAAAGUACAGAUUAAUCUAAAUUCUAACCCUUAUCCAGGACCACUCAGACCUGAGAACUGUUACCUAAUCUUAUGCUAAAUAAGAAAGAGGUCUGAGAGUUGCUGGGAGCCCUGCUGGGUUCUUUAGUCUCCUCAGAGCUCAGCAGGUGCCCUUCCGGAACUGGGUGGCCAGUGGCUGUGCUAACAGCAGGCCCUUUUCAAUCCACAGGCAGAGAAUGCGACAUCCUUUCUCCUGAUGUUAAGAAAAUAACUCUCUAGCAGAAGUCACAUCUUAAGUGAUCAUUGGGUGUUUUUUGUUUUAUUUUUUUUUUUUUUUUAUUAAAGCCUCAAAGCAAGAUGAAAGAUUGAAUUUAAGUAGAAUUAGCAAUGACAGUCUUUUCUGUAAUUUAUAAUGAGAAAAAAAAAGUGUCCCCAAAGUGAUGGUUAGUUAAAUACUGUAGUAAGGAGAGAAAUCCAUUGAGACCUCAGGAUAAUAAGCAGGGGUGAGCAGGAAGGUGACACUGUUCAUUUCUGUGACAUUUCUGGCUAAACAAGCUUUUGUAGACCCGCUGGGAAUGUAACCACUAUUUCCAUGGGAAAAUAAAUUCCAGGUUCCAGACAAGUAAUUUAGAGAUGUUGUGGAACACGGCAACUAAUAAGUUUAGACUCCUGUGCUCCAGAGUCCCCAUCACUCCAUUUUGAUAGAUGGCCAAAGUUCAGUAGUAAGGGGAGAUGGGGUAAAUCCACUCCUGUGGGUAAAAUGAAGAUUAACUCUGACCAUAGCUCAGAGGAGAAGACUGCCAAAGACAGAAACGAUUGUAGUACAGAGGAAAGGGAAACCUCUGCGACUCAAAUGAGACCAUUCACCUUUAUUCUGUAUGUAGUGCAGCUCCUGGGUGUCACGUGAUAUUAUAGAUAUUUGUGGUUUGUUUUAUUUAGUUUUUCUUUUAAGAUUUUAUUUAUUUUAUAUAUGUGAUGAGUACACUGUAGCUAUCUUUAUACUCCAGAAGAGUGCAUCUGAUCUCAUUACAGAUGGUUGUGAGCCACCAUGUGGUUGCUGGGAUUCGAACUCAUGACCUCUGGAAGAGCAGUCAGUGCUCUUAACCCCUGAGCCAUCUCUCCAGCCCAUUUAGUUUUGUUUUGCUCUAGUAAGAGAAAAACGGUCUCGGACUAGCCUGGGAUUAACUCUGUCAAUCAGACUGGCCUGGAAACUGGCAAUCCUUGAGUCCCAGACUCCCAAGUGUUAUUACCGGCAUUCAUUAACCAUCAUGUCUAGCUGUUUUUUGUUUGUUUGUUUUUUUUAAAGACUUAAAACCAGCUGGGGGUGGGGGGGUGGUGGCGCACGCCUGUAAUCCCAGCACUCUGGGAGGCAGAAGCAGGCGGAUUUCUGAGUUCGAGGCCAGCCUGGUCUACAGAGUGAGUUCCAGGACAGCCAGGGCUAUACCAAGAAACCCUGUCUCGGAAAAACCCAAAUUCAAAAAACCAAAAAACAACAACAACAACAAAAAAAAAGGUGUUGUGGUUUAACCGAAAUGCCACACCACACGCUAUCAUACUUACUGGGCUUUUUUUGCCCACUGAUAACCUUGUAGGAAGUGAUUAGAUGAUAAGGGUUCAGACUUUGUAGGUGGAUUGAUCCACUGGUUGUUCAUAAUCUGAUAGCAUUAUUGAGUUCAGAUUGGAAGCAGCGGGCCACUGACAGACUGCCAAGAGGAUAUGUAUCUUGUCCCCAGUUCCUGGCUGCCUGGAUAUAAGCAGCUUUACCCGUACACCCAUCUACCAUGAUGCUCUACCUCACUAUGGCCUAGACACCUCUGAGACAGUGAGCCAAAAUAAAUCUGCCUACCUUUUCAAUUGUUUCUGGAAUUUGGCAAAUCAAAGGAAGUCUAAACACAACUGGGUUGAUCCUAAAGUCCAUGAAAGAAGAUUCUAAACAUUGUUUACCUAUGAGUCAAAAAGAAUGCUUGGAUCUAAAGAGAAAUGUUUAAGAAAGAAAGAAGGAAGGAGGUGCUGCAGAGAGGGAAGGAGGAACAAAAGGUGUCAGGGGGGUUUUGUUGACGUUGUCUUUGCUGUAUUUUGAGACAGGCUCAUACAGCCCACAAUGGCCUAAAACUCUAUUUGUAGCCAAGGUUAGCCUUGAAGUUUUGAUCCUUUGGCCUCCAUGUAUAGAAUCCUGGUGUUACUGGCGUGGACCAACAUGCCCGGUGAUGCAGGGCCAAUGAUAGGACUCUGGGCCUCGUGCCUGCCCCAUGAGAACUUUGCUGUUCCCAGUCAAGCUAUCUCCUCAGCCCCAAGAGGAGUACUUCUCACACAGUAAGCCCCAGUUGUUCAUAGCUUAUUUUAAAUAUUGGUACAAGUGGAAUUUGAUUCAAAGGGUAACUUUUUUUUUCUUUCCCUAGUUUUGCUAUCACUAUAGAUGGCUCUGAAACAUAACAAAAAUUUCGUAAGAAUGUCUUUCCUUAGCUGGCCAGUGGUGGCGCACGCCUUUAAUCCCAGCACUUGGGAGGCAGAGGCAGACAGAUUUCUGAGUUCGAGGCCAGCCUGGUCUACAAAGUGAGUUCCAGGACAGCCAGGGCUACACAGAGGAACCCUGUCUCAAAAAAACCAAAAAAAAAAAAAAAAAAGAAUGUCUUUCCUUAUACAAGUUUCCUUUCAAAUCAUUGGGUGUUUAGGGCUGGCAGGCGACAACACGUGGUGGGGACCCAAUCUUUCAACUGGGAAAAUAAAGUAAAUCUUCCUAUAGUCAUAAACCAUUUCUGUUUCCACAGGAGUUGUAUAUCUAUUCUAAAUGUAUUAGGAGCAAUUAUGUAAUUUACUACCAACAGAAUUUAUCCUUCAGAUGUUGCAACAAUGGGUCACCUCCGUUUGUGGUAGGACACACAGGUGCUUCCUGUUGCCCAGCCCAGGACGAUGUUAACAUCAACCUCAGAGAUGGCCGUUGGGCCAGCCUGGAGCCAAAUGGUAGCCACCGUUUCUGUAUUGAGGAGGAAUUCCUGAAUUAAGCAGGUGACCCACCCAGCUGCCUGAGCAGUCAAGACGAGGACCUCCAAGAGAAGCUAGACAACUUCCACCGGAACUCAGCCUGGAGUCUGGGGGGAAGGGUUUGCCCAAACUGUUAAAAGGUCUGGCGCCAUUAAAGUUUCUGGCUUUGAUCAGUGAA
This is a long non-coding RNA of Apodemus sylvaticus (European woodmouse), 3321 nucleotides long. RefSeq lists it as uncharacterized. Lineage: Eukaryota; Metazoa; Chordata; Mammalia; Rodentia; Muridae. The transcript has 2 exons. The record is from RefSeq and is a predicted model, not a curated record.